UGGGGAAUUUUGGACAAUGGGGGCAACCCUGAUCCAGCGAUGCCGCGUGUGUGAAGAAGGCCUUCGGGUUGUAAAGCACUUUAGUUGGGGAGGAGAGGAUGCAUGUGAAUAAUAUGCGUCUGAGACGUAACCCAAAGAAUAAGCACCGGCAAACUCUGUGCCAGCAGCCGCGGUAAUACAGAGGGUGCAAGCGUUAAUCGGAGUGAUUGGGCGUAAAGGGCGCGUAGGCGGUUAACUAAGUUAGUUGUGAAAUACCAGAGCUUAACUUUGGGGAGUCAACUAAGACUGGGGAACUAGAGUACAGUAGAGGGGAGUGGAAUUUCCGGAGUAGCGGUGAAAUGCGUAGAUACCGGAAGGAACACCAGAGGCGAAGGCGACUCUCUGGGCUGUAACUGACGCUGAGGCGCGAAAGCGUGGGUAGCAAACAGG
RNAcentral lists this ribosomal RNA (429 nucleotides) under uncultured bacterium. Its description in RNAcentral is "bacterial SSU rRNA". It matches the Rfam family "Bacterial small subunit ribosomal RNA", at positions 355 to 776 of the family's 1533-position model. The record is from RNAcentral.